GGUUUAGGAUUUAGGGUUUAGGGUUUAGAGUUUAGAGGUGGGGUUUAGGGUUUAGAGUUAAGGGGUGGGGUUUAAGAUUUAGGGUUUAGGGUUUAGGAUUUAGGGUUUAGGGUUUAGAGUUUAGAGGUGGGGUUUAGGGUUUAGAGUUAAGGGGUGGGGUUUAAGAUUUAGGGUUUAGGGUUUAGGAUUUAGGGUUUAGGGUUUAGAGUUUAGAGGUGGGGUUUAGGGUUUAGAGUUAAGGGGUGGGGUUUAAGAUUUAGGGUUUAGGGUUUAGGAUUUAGGGUUUAGGGUUUAGAGUUUAGGGUUUAGGGUUUAUGUUUUAGGGUUUAGAAUUGGAGAGUGGAGUUUUGGAAUAAAAUUUUAAAUUUUGAAAAAUAAAAAAAAAAAGUUU
RNAcentral lists this long non-coding RNA (391 nucleotides) under Brassica napus (rape). RNAcentral describes it as "long non-coding RNA (BNAP_LNC021351)". Lineage: Eukaryota; Viridiplantae; Streptophyta; Magnoliopsida; Brassicales; Brassicaceae. The record is from RNAcentral.